RNAcentral lists this microRNA precursor (155 nucleotides) under Marmota monax (woodchuck). Lineage: Eukaryota; Metazoa; Chordata; Mammalia; Rodentia; Sciuridae. The record is from RNAcentral.
UCUUGCUAUUGUGAAUUGUGCUGCUAUGAACAUCGAUGUAGCAGUGUCCCUGUAGUAUGCUAUUCCCCUUCUCGGUCUAUUCCCUAAAGACCUAAAAAUAGCAUACUACAGGGACACUGCUACAUCGAUGUUCAUAGCAGCACAAUUCACAAUAG